UAACCGGAUUAGAUACCCUGGUAGCCCUAAAAGGAAACGAGAGUGCAAGUGUAGAGGGUUUCCCCCUUUUAGUGCUGCAGCUAACGCAUUAAGCACUCCGCCUGGGGAGUACGGUCGCAAGACUGAAACUCAAAGGAAUUGACUGGGGCCCGCACAAGCGGUGGAGCAUGUGGUUUAAUUCGAAGCAACGCGAAGAACCUUACCAGGUCUUGACAUCCUCUGACAACUCUAGAGAUAGAGCGUUCCCCUUCGGGGGACAGAGUGACAGGUGGUGCAUGGUUGUCGUCAGCUCGUGUCGUGAGAUGUUGGGUUAAGUCCCGCAACGAGCGCAACCCUUGAUCUUAGUUGCCAGCAUUCAGUUGGGCACUCUAAGGUGACUGCCGGUGACAAACCGGAGGAAGGUGGGGAUGACGUCAAAUCAUCAUGCCCCUUAUGACCUGGGCUACACACGUGCUACAAUGGAUGGUACAAAGGGCUGCAAGACCGCGAGGUCAAGCCAAUCCCAUAAAACCAUUCUCAGUUCGGAUUGUAGGCUGCAACUCGCCUACAUGAAGCUGGAAUCGCUAGUAAUCGCGGAUCAGCAUGCCGCGGUGAAUACGU
This 600-nucleotide ribosomal RNA is filed under the name uncultured bacterium. RNAcentral's name for it is "bacterial SSU rRNA". It matches the Rfam family "Bacterial small subunit ribosomal RNA", at positions 770 to 1371 of the family's 1533-position model. The record is from RNAcentral.